UACCGAGGUCCCGAGCGUUGUUCGGAUUCACUGGGCGUAAAGGGUGCGUAGGUGGCCUGAAAAGUUUGAUGUGAAAGCUCAGGGCUUAACCCUGAAAUGGCAUUGAAUACUGUCGGGCUGGAGGUUUGGAGGGGGGACUGGAAUUCUUGGUGUAGCAGUGAAAUGCGUAGAUAUCAAGAGGAACACCAGUGGCGAAGGCGAGUCCCUGGACAACACCUGACACUGAGGCACGAAGGCCAGGGGAGCAAACGGG
RNAcentral lists this ribosomal RNA (253 nucleotides) under uncultured bacterium. Its description in RNAcentral is "partial 16S ribosomal RNA". It matches the Rfam family "Bacterial small subunit ribosomal RNA", at positions 524 to 776 of the family's 1533-position model. The record is from RNAcentral.